AUACAGGCGGUUGACGUCAACAAACCUCAUCGAACAUUCAAAAAGGGAUUGCAAUAAUGAUUUUUAUCCACCAAUCCAAAGAAAGGAUAGGCGGGAGCUAGACAGCCCGCUGUUCCGCUUCGUGGACGACUGAGAUACCACAACAAUCAUGGCGGCGCUGUUUGUCUGCCUUCGGAUUCAGAAAUGGAGAGAGCCGAACCCUCCUCGUUCCUACGAAAAUCUUGUAUGUAAACAAGGUCAGUCAUACUGCAGCAUACAGUCAACUUGUUCUCCAGUAGAAUUUCUCCUGUGCAUAGAAGACACCAAUCGGCUUACAUUACAACAUUGUGACAGAAUCUCAGCACAGUUGCCAAGAUGAUGCAGUGUUUCCACUUUAUAGUUGAGCCGGUCAAGAACAUCACAGCCAAGCUUAAGGAAUCUCGCAAGAGGGCGAAGAAUGAGAAGAGAGAGCCACUGGAAGCAAAUCAGCUGUUUAUUGUGGAGCUGGCUAGAGAUCUCAAUCGAGUGUGUCAGAGGUCUGAGGUGCUGGAGAACAUCUGGAAACUAGAGGACAUCUGGCC
Long non-coding RNA from Coregonus clupeaformis (lake whitefish), 560 nucleotides. RefSeq lists it as uncharacterized. The record is from RefSeq and is a predicted model, not a curated record. The transcript is spliced from 4 exons. NCBI's taxonomy places the organism in Eukaryota, Metazoa, Chordata, Actinopteri, Salmoniformes, Salmonidae.